AAACUGAAGAGUUUGAUCCUGGCUCAGAUUGAACGCUGGCGGAAUGCUUUACACAUGCAAGUCGAGCGGCAGCACGGGGGUAACCCUGGUGGCGAGCGGCGAACGGGUGAGUAAUACAUCGGAACAUGCCCAGUCGUGGGGGAUAACACUUCGAAAGAAGUGCUAAUACCGCAUACGUCCUGAGGGAGAAAGCGGGGGAUCGCAAGACCUCGCGCGAUUGGAGUGGCCGAUGUCAGAUUAGCUAGUUGGUGGGGUAAAGGCCUACCAAGGCAACGAUCUGUAGCUGGUCUGAGAGGAUGAUC
This 302-nucleotide non-coding RNA is filed under the name Methyloversatilis universalis FAM5. RNAcentral describes it as "Bacterial small subunit ribosomal RNA". It matches the Rfam family "Bacterial small subunit ribosomal RNA", at positions 1 to 305 of the family's 1533-position model. Lineage: Bacteria; Pseudomonadati; Pseudomonadota; Betaproteobacteria; Nitrosomonadales; Sterolibacteriaceae. The record is from Rfam by way of RNAcentral.